This is a non-coding RNA of Punica granatum (pomegranate), 3333 nucleotides long. The record is from RefSeq and is a predicted model, not a curated record. Lineage: Eukaryota; Viridiplantae; Streptophyta; Magnoliopsida; Myrtales; Lythraceae.
AAAUUACAAGAAAAUCGUAAAAACAGAUCGAUGAAGGGAAAGACAGUGAAAAGAAGAGUACAUCCAAGUUAUGAAUUCUUCAGCUCUAUUGAUCCCAAAUCUAACAAGCCAAUCAACUGUUGCAUUUCCAUGUCUUUGACUCCUCAUAGAUCCAUGCAAAAUAAUAUUUGAUUUAUCAAAGAGAGUGAAACGCGGUAAUCGUCUUCACCUGAUAACUAAAACGUUUUAGUUUUAUUAUUUGUUUAGAGACUAUUUUCUUUUUUUUGAGCCAAGCGUGGCAUUGACUUCUAUUUAAAAAAAAGUGAUAUAUACUAAUUAUUUUGAUGAUUUGAUUUAUGAAGUUUGUGGACCAAGAUACGGGAAAGGGUAGAAAGGGAAGACACUCACCACAGAGGCAAACGGGCCUUACAAAAGGCGAGCAUGCACGCUCAUGCAUCUUUUUAGUUUUACCACUCAUAAAAGGCCCCAACUUUUUUUGAAAAUUACCAAGCGUCCAUCAUCAAUCCAAAUUCUUGUACAAACUCCCGACUCGACUCUUUCUCCCUUUCUCUUAUACAUUUAAGCUCGGGUCUCUGAUCAAUCCGUUGUCAGCUACAAACUAAUGCACAUGUCCCUUGUGUCGUCUCUGUUUGUGUCUCUCGAGGGUUUCUUAGAGGGAGCGUCUCUGCAGAGACAUUUUGGAAUUCUGUCCACCUCCCCCGUCCAUAUCAGCCCCGAUCGAGAAAGUUUGGAAGGAGGUGGACAGCAUGCCAAACUCGCUCUGCAAAUUCCCACUAAGAAACCCUUCUGAAGAGUGCAAUGGUGUUCCCUUGCAGCAUUCUUUGUUCGUGCAAACCGUCACUCGAACGGGAUGAACUCACGAGGUAAUUAUUAAUUUAGUUACUAUGCAUGUGCGCUCAGCUCAGCAAGCUUGGAAACCCGUACUUUGCAGCUCGAUUUAGAGGAUCCUCUCGCAGCCUCGCUCAUGGGUAAGCUACCUGCGCAAUAUAUAUCAUCAACCGCAGGUAGGUAGUUUUCUCCAUAUUGAUUGAUUGCCUCUCUAGAGUAUACUCCAUCAAUAUCACCUCUGUGUUUACAGUGUACGUACUGCAGCUAUUUAUCAUACUUUUCUGUGUAUAAUGAAGUUUCUGUUUUUUGGUUUUGUGUUUUAAUUACUUAACUGAAUGAGGAGGUCAUAGAGCUUGCGUAAAAUAAUUUUACGAAAAUGUGAUAUACUUAAAAUUUAUGUUUUAUAUAUAUAUAUAUAUGUUUUAAUUUUGUUGAAUAUAUACGCAUAUGUAUCUGAUCAAUAGGGAUUUAUGGAAGUAGGUUUAAGGAUUGCACUAACAAGCGCAAAUUGAAAUUUGAGAAUCUUCUAAUCAUGCAAAAUUCUCGUACACCAUACCUUCAUUCGUUGAUAAACCAUUUAGCAUAGCAGUCCAACACCAUAUUUCCACAUAAUUAAAUAUUAAGCUUUUCUUACUCCGUUUUGCCUCACUGUAAUCUUUUAUUGUUGGUUGAUUUUAGCUCUUUCUCCGUCUUGUUGACCGGGGGAAAUAUUAAUCUGUAAUAGAGAAGAUAAAGAAGGAGAUUUUUGAAAUUUGAAGUAAUAUUAAUAAUAGAGUAGUAGAUUUUUUUAGAUUUUAAUUCGAUGGUCCUAAUACUAACAUAGUUAAUAGUAGCCCAUAUCGGUCUCAGCCCAACCCAGCCCAGCCCAUUUUAAGGGGAAUCAAUAAAUUAAACGGCGGCGGGCACAUCCUUGUCCUUACUUAUAUUAAUAAUAUAUAUAUAUAUAUAUAUAUAUAUGUAAUAAAAUAAAUCUCAAUUUCGACUAGUGUUGAUCGACAACGAUUCGAAGGAGAGAAUUAUCGGAAGGCGAACCGUGGCAUGCAGUUGUGCUCGCUCCUCUCGUCAUGUCGUUCUCUGAAAAUGGAGAGGAACCUGCUAUGUUUGUGAAUGGUAUGCCAAGUUCACCGCCACCGCCACCGCCCGAGGUUGUGAACAUUGCGAGGUCCUCAAGGUGUCUUAUGAAGCCCGAAGAGAAGCAGGCCUAUUUGGUUAAGGUGGAGGAAAGCCAGGGCUUCGAUGCUGAUUCCUACGCCUUAUGUAUUGGAUGACAUAAUUCAACCGGUUCCACUGGAUGACCUCGUGACUUACCGUGCCGACUACGAUGAUUUUAUUCAUCUUGCUGUCGCUAAAUGCAAUGCCGACCAGCCCACGAUGAUAUACUUUCCCAUUAUUCAGAAGGCGAAACCGUGGGAGUUGUGCUCCUCUCGUCGUUCACUACAUCACAUUUGGUGCCUUGGAUUAUGUUAUGCUGACCGUACUUUUAAAGUAUACGAGGCAGUUGUGUAUCAGAUGCCUCCAUCCACCAAUCUUCUGUUUUGCCACUUCUGCAGGGUCAGAGGGUCAAGGAUAAUUCCUCCGAUGCCAUCUGGUUGCCCCUUUGGACUGAUUCAUGGUAUUCCAUCGUCCCUGCCACCGCCUGAGGCUGUGGAAUCAUGGUUUCGUGCUUUAUUCUCAGGGGAAGACUGUCAGGGGAAGGAGGAUACGAUAAGCCUAACCCAAACUUCAUUGGAAUGUCUGUAAGUCGUGAAUGGUCCGCCUUAUCCAAAGAUCCCGAAGAACCGUUCCUGGCUCCGUUCUAUGACUUCCCAAGAGAUGGAGUUCUACUUGGGGAAGGUGAAGGAGAGCCAGGGCUUCGAUGUUCCUUCCUUCCCGUAUGCCAUGAACAAGUUACUUAAAGUGGUUUCCCCCAAAGUCUUUGCGCGUCACCGUGCCGAGUACGACUGUUUUCUUCAGCUCACUGUUGCUAAAUACAAUGCCAACCAGCCCGAGGGGAUAUGGUAUCCCCGAAUCUUGAAGGCAAACAGGAUGAUGUCUGGUGCUUCAGAGGUACACUAUAUCACGUUUGAGGCCUUGGAUAGUGCCACCGGCAUUUGAAGCUGUUGUGCAUCAGAUGAUUCCGAUCCAUAAUUUGUAUUGCCACUUCUGCAUGGUCUGAGCGAGCAACGCAUUGUUCUUUCUCCAAUUUUUCUGUAGGGUCGAGGAUAAUUCCUUUGGAAGCCGCCUCCGACCUCCCUCACCUUUUUUGUAUUUUCUGAAUGAUGAUCCAUGGGUAAAAGGAGGGGGGAGUUGCUGGUUAGCUUUCUCGUUCAGUGAGAAUGAAGGAAAUCGGAAGUUGUCAUUCUCGUGAAGAAACUUUACUUUUGACUCCUUUUGAGUAAAAUGUAGAUAUUACUACCUACUACUAUAUAUUUGCAUGUACGUUUUGCCUAAAUCAGUCACUCGUACGAAUUCUCCUCUCUUUUUGUGUGUUUUAUGAAGUUAUGUGAAUAUUAUACUUUUUAGUAU